RNAcentral lists this ribosomal RNA (888 nucleotides) under uncultured bacterium. Its description in RNAcentral is "bacterial SSU rRNA". It matches the Rfam family "Bacterial small subunit ribosomal RNA", at positions 8 to 893 of the family's 1533-position model. The record is from RNAcentral.
AGAGUUUGAUCAUGGCUCAAAAUGAACGCUGGCUGUGUGCCUAAUACAUGCAUGUCGAGCGCAGCACUUUUGUGCUUAGCGGCGAANGGGUGAGUAACACGUACUUAACCUACCCCUAAAACUGGGACAACAGUCGGAAACGACUGCUAAUACCGGAUAUUUCUUUUAGUCGCAUGACUAAUUGAUGAAAGAGGCGUUUGCCUCAUUUAGGGAUGGGAGUGCGCUACAUUAGUUAGUUGUUAGGGUAAAAGCCUAACAAGACGAUGAUGUAUAGCGGGGUUGAGAAGCUGAUCCGCCACACUGGGACUGAGAUACGGCCCAGACUCCUACGGGAGGCAGCAGUAGGGAAUUUUCCACAAUGAGCGAAAGCUUGAUGGAGCGACACAGCGUGCAGGAAGACGGUCUUUGGAUUGUAAACUGCUGUUAUAAGGGAAGAACAACUAGGGUAGGAAAUGACUCUAGCCUGACGGUACCUUAUCANAAAGCACCGGCAAACUAUGUGCCAGCAGCCGCGGUAAUACAUAGGGUGCAAGCGUUAUUCGGAAUUAUUGGGCGUAAAGCGUUCGUAGGCUGUUUAUUAAGUCUGGAGUUAAAGCCCGGGGCUCAACCCCGGUACGCUUUGGAUACUGAUAAACUAGAGUUAUAGAGAGGUUAGUGGAACUCCAUGUGAAGCGGUGGAAUGCGUAGAUAUAUGGAAGAACACCAAUAGCGAAGGCAGCUAACUGGCUAUAAACUGACGCUGAGGGACGAAAGUGUGGGUAGCAAACAGGAUUAGAUACCCUGGUAGUCCACACCGUAAACGAUGUCAACUAGCCGUUGGGGGGCUUGUCCCUUUUAGUGGCGCAGCUAACGCACUAAGUUGACCGCCGGGGGAGUACGGUCGCAAGA